This 484-nucleotide ribosomal RNA is filed under the name uncultured bacterium. Its description in RNAcentral is "partial 16S ribosomal RNA". It matches the Rfam family "Bacterial small subunit ribosomal RNA", at positions 29 to 507 of the family's 1533-position model. The record is from RNAcentral.
AUUGAACGCUGGCGGAAUGCUUUACACAUGCAAGUCGAACGGCAGCACGGGGGCAGCCCUGGUGGCGAGUGGCGAACGGGUGAGUAAUACAUCGGAACGUGCCCGGUCGUGGGGGAUAACGUAGCGAAAGUUACGCUAAUACCGCAUACGAUCUGAGGAUGAAAGCGGGGGACCUUCGGGCCUCGCGCGAUCGGAGCGGCCGAUGUCAGAUUAGGUAGUUGGUGGGGUAAAGGCCUACCAAGCCGACGAUCUGUAGCUGGUCUGAGAGGACGACCAGCCACACUGGGACUGAGACACGGCCCAGACUCCUACGGGAGGCAGCAGUGGGGAAUUUUGGACAAUGGGCGCAAGCCUGAUCCAGCCAUUCCGCGUGCAGGACGAGGGCCUUCGGGUUGUAAACUGCUUUUGUACGGAACGAAAAGGCUCUGGCUAAUACCUGGGGCUCAUGACGGUACCGGAAGAAUAAGCACCGGCUAACUACGUG